GAAUAUUGGACAAUGGGCGCAAGCCUGAUCCAGCCAUGCCGCGUGUGUGAAGAAGGCCUUCGGGUUGUAAAGCACUUUUGUACGGGAAGAAACCUUCCGGGUUAAUACCCGGGAGUCAUGACGGUACCGUAAGAAUAAGCACCGGCUAACUUCGUCCCAGCAGCGGCGGUAAUACGAAGGGUGCAAGCGUUACUCGUAAUUACUGGGCGUAAAGCGUGCGUAGGUGGUUUGUUAAGUCUGAUGUGAAAGCCCUGGGCUCAACCUGGGAAUGGCAUUGGAUACUGGCAGUCUAGAGUGCGGUAGAGGGUAGUGGAAUUCCCGGUGUAGCAGUGAAAUGCGUAGAUAUCGGGAGGAACAUCCGUGGCGAAGGCGACUACCUGGACCAGCACUGACACUGAGGCACGAAAGCGUGGGGAGCAAACAGG
Molecule: ribosomal RNA, 425 nt
Filed under: uncultured bacterium
Lineage: Bacteria
Description: bacterial SSU rRNA
Rfam family: Bacterial small subunit ribosomal RNA
Source: RNAcentral